RNAcentral lists this transfer RNA (83 nucleotides) under uncultured Rubneribacter sp. It matches the Rfam family "tRNA". Rfam says of the family: Transfer RNA (tRNA) molecules are approximately 80 nucleotides in length. Their secondary structure includes four short double-helical elements and three loops (D, anti-codon, and T loops). Further hydrogen bonds mediate the characteristic L-shaped molecular structure. tRNAs have two regions of fundamental functional importance: the anti-codon, which is responsible for specific mRNA codon recognition, and the 3' end, to which the tRNAs corresponding amino acid is attached (by aminoacyl-tRNA synthetases). tRNAs cope with the degeneracy of the genetic code in two manners: having more than one tRNA (with a specific anti-codon) for a particular amino acid; and 'wobble' base-pairing, i.e. permitting non-standard base-pairing at the 3rd anti-codon position. The record is from RNAcentral. Lineage: Bacteria; Bacillati; Actinomycetota; Coriobacteriia; Eggerthellales; Eggerthellaceae.
GAGGCGUGGCCGAGUGGUUGAAGGCGGCAGUCUUGAAAACUGUUGUGCCGAAAGGUACCGUGGGUUCAAAUCCUACCGCCUCC